AUUAAUUAAAUUACUAAAAGUACCAUAACUAUUAGCAAUACUGUAUCUUCUUUGUGUAUCACUCAGCUGUAGAUCUUCAAAUCAUCUCUGAAUUGGUGCUGACA
Nanorana parkeri is the source of this 104-nucleotide long non-coding RNA. RefSeq lists it as uncharacterized. NCBI's taxonomy places the organism in Eukaryota, Metazoa, Chordata, Amphibia, Anura, Dicroglossidae. The transcript is spliced from 3 exons. The record is from RefSeq and is a predicted model, not a curated record.